AUCCGUCCGACGAGUCGCAAAUAGGACGAAAUGCGCGUCUUGGAU
This 45-nucleotide non-coding RNA is filed under the name Schistosoma margrebowiei. Lineage: Eukaryota; Metazoa; Platyhelminthes; Trematoda; Strigeidida; Schistosomatidae. The record is from RNAcentral.